CCUACGGGAGGCAGCAGUGAGGAAUAUUGGACAAUGGGCGCAAGCCUGAUCCAGCCAUGCCGCGUGCAGGAUGAAGCAUCUAUGGUGUGUAAACUGCUUUUAUACAGGAAGAAACCUCCCGACGUGUCGGGAAUUGACGGUACUGUAAGAAUAAGGAUCGGCUAACUCCGUGCCAGCAGCCGCGGUAAUACGGAGGAUCCAAGCGUUAUCCGGAAUCAUUGGGUUUAAAGGGUCCGUAGGCGGGCCAGUAAGUCAGUGGUGAAAUCUCUCCGCUCAACGGGGAAAUGGCCAUUGAUACUGCUGGUCUUGAAUUAUUAGGAAGUAACUAGAAUAUGUAGUGUAGCGGUGAAAUGCUUAGAGAUUACAUGGAAUACCAAUUGCGAAGGCAGGUUACUACUAAUGGAUUGACGCUGAUGGACGAAAGCGUGGGUAGCGAACAGGAUUAGAUACCCUGGUAGUCCACGCCGUAAACGAUGGAUACUAGCUGUUGGGGGCAACUUCAGUGGCUAAGCGAAAGUGAUAAGUAUCCCACCNGGAGUAGUCGCGAGANAGAAGUAAGAAGUAGAGNGNGAGAGAGCGAGACGACGACGAGGGAGGAGG
Molecule: ribosomal RNA, 600 nt
Filed under: uncultured bacterium
Lineage: Bacteria
Description: bacterial SSU rRNA
Rfam family: Bacterial small subunit ribosomal RNA (bases 1-533)
Source: RNAcentral